AUGAGCAUCCCUGAAGGCCCCCUCGUCGAGAUCCUCUCGCGGGUGCCCUACAAGUCACUCUGCCGCUUCAAGUGCGUGUCCAAGACGUGGUUCGCCCUCUGCUCCGACCGAGAAAUCCUCAAGAAGUCGCCGCAGAGCCUAGCCGGAUUCUUUCUCAACUUCAGAGGUAACAUCUGUGUCCGUAAUUUAUCUGGGGGAGGCCCGCCUCUGGUCGACCCCAAUCUCCCGUUCUUGCGCGAGAACUACAAACGCGUGUGGCUUGAACAAUGCUGCGGUGGCCUUCUCCUGUGCGAGUGCGCGAAAUCCCGUUCCCUCGGAGGCGGAGGCGGACAUGACUAUGUUGUCUGCAAUCCUGCAACUAAGGAGUGGACUGUGCUGCCUCCUAUACAAUUUUUGGUUCAAGGCAUCGUCAAUGUCGGACCACUCAUUUACUUGGGCUUCGAUGCGGCUGUUCCCUCCCGCUUUGUGGCGUUUGCCCUGUCUGCACCCGAGGCACCAAACCACGGACAAGUGUCUAUCUACUCAUCAGAAACUGGACGGUGGACUUCUGUUCAGAGUAAGUGGGCCUCUGGAACUACUGUGAAUAGACAUGCAGGGUAUGUGUUUCUGAAUGGCGCUAUGCAUUUGACUACCUUUAGUAACUCAAUAGUCACGGUCGACGCCGAGGGGAAAGUUUGGAGGGAGAUUGAAAUGCCAGAUGACUUGCCAACCCUGUUUACACAUUAUUCCAUUGGCCAGUCUCAGGGGCUCUUCACUCUUGUAUGCUUGGAGGAUUGA
RNAcentral lists this ribosomal RNA (777 nucleotides) under Triticum aestivum (bread wheat). RNAcentral's name for it is "partial small subunit ribosomal RNA". The record is from RNAcentral. Lineage: Eukaryota; Viridiplantae; Streptophyta; Magnoliopsida; Poales; Poaceae.